ACCUUAGUUACCAUGAUAAUAUACUGAGCAAAACCAAAUUGGGGAAUUAAGGGCUUUAUUGGCUUACAGGUUACAGUUCAUCACCAAGGGAAGUCAGGAAACCUGGAGACAGGAGCUGAAGCAGAGACCAUGGAGGAAAGCUACUUAUUGGCUUGCUCUCCAUGGAGUCAGCUCCUUUUUUGUACAAAGCCCAGGUUCUCUGCUUCUGAGCCACAUCCCCAGUCUCUAUUCACUAUUGCAUCGGAGAUCAAGUCUGUGUCGUGAUAUGGGAGAGGUACUCAGUUGAAGCCAGCUUGUGCUUGAAUCCUCAGCCACUAAUGUUAAUGCUGAAGUCGAGCUCAUUGCCAACUGUUCUCCUUCUCUGUGAGAGCCAUGAUCAACUUGCAGCAAUUUUCAAGCAUGCCAUAGAUCUUCAUGAGUUACAGUCACAUUUUGCGAUAAAUCUUUUGAAUUUAUUAUUCUUUCUAAUUGGAAUUUUGUAUCCUCAUAGCAACAACUUUGCAUCCUCUCCUCCUUGUCCUGGGCUCUGCAGAGGCAUCAAAUGCAACCUCUGGAAGUUAGCAUAUGAAGCCAUCUCUCCUGUAAAGGAUACGCUCAAGACAUAUAUUCCGAUCAUACAUGACUUCUAGCCAUCUGGUGAUCCAGGAAUUAAACACAUGAAUAUAUAGUCAUGGAACAGAGAAAAAAAAAACUCCAAUAUAUCAAAAGGGAACAAAGAAGAAGAGAGCUCCACAGUUGAAAGAAUGCAUUGUAUUGGCUGAUACUUUUUAAGAAAGUGGGACAAAAAGAAAGCAUCUUCAAAAAGUGGUGCUGGUCUUACUGGAUGUCUGCAUAUAGACGAACACAAAUAGCCCCAUUUUUAUCACCCUGCACAAAACUCAAGCCCAAGUGGAUCAAAGACCUCAACAUGAAACCAACUAGAAGA
Long non-coding RNA from Mastomys coucha (southern multimammate mouse), 925 nucleotides. RefSeq lists it as uncharacterized. The transcript has 5 exons. Lineage: Eukaryota; Metazoa; Chordata; Mammalia; Rodentia; Muridae. The record is from RefSeq and is a predicted model, not a curated record.